RNAcentral lists this ribosomal RNA (1134 nucleotides) under uncultured bacterium. RNAcentral's name for it is "bacterial SSU rRNA". It matches the Rfam family "Bacterial small subunit ribosomal RNA", at positions 331 to 1456 of the family's 1533-position model. The record is from RNAcentral.
CCAGACUCCUACGGGAGGCAGCAGUGGGGAAUUUUGGACAAUGGGCGCAAGCCUGAUCCAGCAAUGCCGCGUGCAGGAAGAAGGCCUUCGGGUUGUAAACUGCUUUUGUCAGGGAAGAAAUCUUCUGGGCUAAUACCCCGGGAGGAUGACGGUACCUGAAGAAUAAGCACCGGCUAACUACGUGCCAGCAGCCGCGGUAAUACGUAGGGUGCGAGCGUUAAUCGGAAUUUACUGGGCGUAAAGCGUGCGCAGGCGGCUUUGCAAGACAGAUGUGAAAUCCCCGGGCUCAACCUGGGAACUGCAUUUGUGACUGCAAGGCUAGAGUACGGCCAGAGGGGGAUGGAAUUCCGCGUGUAGCAGUGAAAUGCGUAGAUAUGCGGAGGAACACCAAUGGCGAAGGCAAUCCCCUGGGCCUGUACUGACGCUCAUGCACGAAAGCGUGGGGAGCAAACAGGAUUAGAUACCCUGGUAGUCCACGCCCUAAACGAUGUCAACUGGUUGUUGGACGGCUUGCUGUUCAGUAACGAAGCUAACGCGUGAAGUUGACCGCCUGGGGAGUACGGCCGCAAGGUUGAAACUCAAAGGAAUUGACGGGGGACCCGCACAAGCGGUGGAUGAUGUGGUUUAAUUCGAUGCAACGCGAAAAAACCUUACCUACCCCUUGACAUGUCAAGAAUUUUGCAGAGAUGUGAAAGUGCUCGAAAGAGAACUUGAACACAGGUGCUGCAUGGCCGUCGUCAGCUCGUGUCGUGAGAUGUUGGGUUAAGUCCCGCAACGAGCGCAACCCUUGUCAUUAGUUGCUACCGCAAGGAGCACUCUAAUGAGACUGCCGGUGACAAACCGGAGGAAGGUGGGGAUGACGUCAGGUCCUCAUGGCCCUUAUGGGUAGGGCUACACACGUCAUACAAUGGCCGGUACAGAGGGCUGCCAACCCGCGAGGGGGAGCCAAUCCCAGAAAACCGGUCGUAGUCCGGAUCGUAGUCUGCAACUCGACCGCGUGAAGUCGGAAUCGCUAGUAAUCGCGGAUCAGCUUGCCGCGGUGAAUACGUUCCCGGGUCUUGUACACACCGCCCGUCACACCAUGGGAGCGGGUUCUGCCAGAAGUAGUUAGCCUAACCGCAAGGAGGGCGAUAC